AUCACAACCUUGCUUCAAAACAUACAAAAGUUAAUAUACUAAAACGGGUUGCCUCAGCUUUCUAAGCGUCUCUGAGCAGGGAACGCUUUGCGCAGGCGCCUGCUUGAUCUCAAGUGGCAGGGAGUUCCCAAGGGCAGGUGCUGCCACACGAAACGAUCAGGCGCUGAGCAACACGUGGCACCAACUCCACCCAUGAAAAUGGCCCCCUGGGCACAAGUGGGGCAGGUUUUGCAGAUUGUCAAACCUUUCUGGAUAUCACAAUUCCAAAGAAAAUUCCAUCCAACAUGACUGAAGAUGGUCUAGGAGAAGAUGAGAGCACACAGACUUACAUUAUUACA
Non-coding RNA from Podarcis muralis (Common wall lizard), 338 nucleotides. Lineage: Eukaryota; Metazoa; Chordata; Lepidosauria; Squamata; Lacertidae. The record is from RefSeq and is a predicted model, not a curated record.